RNAcentral lists this ribosomal RNA (253 nucleotides) under uncultured bacterium. RNAcentral describes it as "partial 16S ribosomal RNA". It matches the Rfam family "Bacterial small subunit ribosomal RNA", at positions 524 to 776 of the family's 1533-position model. The record is from RNAcentral.
UACGUAGGGGGCAAGCGUUGUCCGGAUUUAUUGGGCGUAAAGAGCGUGUAGGCGGCUAGGUAGGUGGGUUGUGAAAACUGGAGGCUCAACCUUCAGACGUCGACCCAAACCCCCUGGCUAGAGGAUGGCAGAGGCAAGUGGAAUUGGUAGUGUAGCAGUGAAAUGCGUAGAUAUUACCAGGAACACCAAUGGCGAAGGCAGCUUGCUGGGCCAUUUCUGACGCUGAGGUACGAAAGCGUGGGGAGCGAACAGG